This is a long non-coding RNA of Oreochromis niloticus (Nile tilapia), 878 nucleotides long. RefSeq lists it as uncharacterized. NCBI's taxonomy places the organism in Eukaryota, Metazoa, Chordata, Actinopteri, Cichliformes, Cichlidae. The transcript has 2 exons. The record is from RefSeq and is a predicted model, not a curated record.
UGAGCACCAACUUCAUGGCACUCUGCACUUCGAAGCGUGUGCAGCGGCAGUGCAUGACGCUGAGACGCUGAGCCUCUCUGGAAAUGCGGAUCAGAGCCCUGCGGAGAAGGGUGGACAGCCGCCUCACAGCCUCCGCUCGUCGUCACGUACAGUGUACCGGAGAGACUCGGCUGCAGAUGUGCGAGAGGAGGGAGUGCUGCUGAAUGACAACACGGAAGCAGCUCAAACACCAAUCAGAAGACGCCCGACUCUCACGUCAGCCAAUCAGAGCACACUUAAAAGCUUUCCUAAGUUGGAAAACAAAAGUAAACUGAAUUUCCCCUGAAAGAGGGAAACCGUAACAUGUGUAUGACCUACUACUGCAUUUGCCCAUUAUCCAACUAUCAUAAAAUGUUUCUAAUAUUUUGUGAGAACAUUAUUUUAUAAAUAUUAUUUUGUCAAAAACGAGAGCUCAAAAAUACUAUUAAAUAUGAUUAAACUAUUAAAUACCAAUUAUUGUAACAGUAACAGAUACAUGGCACAUCAUCCGGUCCCUAGUUAGUUCUUCACGUUCACUCAGGAGUAGACGGCUUGUUCACUGCAUAUUAGUCAACUGCACUGUAAGAGAAACAGAUACUCUGAGCACCUAGCAAUGGUCUAAGACUUAUACCAUUUGAGGUGGAGUAAAGUUUACUUUAACUGUACGAGGUUUAGGGUUUUCCCCAAAAACUGCAUUUUAAAGCUUAUUUGGAAGAGGAAGGAAGGCAGAAAUACUGCAACAGCUCGAAUAAUGAGAGAUUUUGUACUGGUUAACUAGUCCUGCACUGUACAUUCUGCUCAUUCAGCACCAGCAGCAGAACUAAUAAAAAAUAGGCCUGUGACUACCUGCUUCUCAUUAG